This 449-nucleotide ribosomal RNA is filed under the name uncultured prokaryote. RNAcentral describes it as "bacterial SSU rRNA". It matches the Rfam family "Bacterial small subunit ribosomal RNA", at positions 355 to 796 of the family's 1533-position model. The record is from RNAcentral.
UGGGGAAUAUUGGACAAUGGGGGCAACCCUGAUCCAGCAAUGCCGCGUGUGUGAAGAAGGCCUGCGGGUUGUAAAGCACUUUCAGUAGAGAAGAAAAGCUUACGGUUAAUACCCGUGAGUCUUGACGUAACCUACAGAAGAAGCACCGGCUAACUCCGUGCCAGCAGCCGCGGUAAUACGGAGGGUGCGAGCGUUAAUCGGAAUUACUGGGCGUAAAGCGUCCGCAGGUGGCACUUCAAGUCUGCUGUCAAAGACCAGAGCUCAACUCUGGGCAGGCGGUGGAAACUGGGGAGCUAGAGUACGGUAGGGGUAGAGGGAAUUUCCAGUGUAGCGGUGAAAUGCGUAGAGAUUGGAAAGAACACCAGUGGCGAAGGCGCUCUACUGGACCUGUACUGACACUAAGGGACGAAAGCUAGGGGAGCGAAAGGGAUUAGAUACCCCCGUAGUCC